Molecule: ribosomal RNA, 406 nt
Filed under: uncultured bacterium
Lineage: Bacteria
Description: partial 16S ribosomal RNA
Rfam family: Bacterial small subunit ribosomal RNA
Source: RNAcentral
AUUGAACGCUGGCGGCAGGCCUAACACAUGCAAGUCGAGCGAGCGGCGGACGGGUGAGUGAUGUGUGGGGGAAUGCCUGAUAUGGAGGGGUAACUCCAGUAAACGGUAGCUACAACCGCAUACGCUCAGAUGUGCCCAGAUGGGAGUAGCUAGUAGGUGGGGUAACGGCUCACCUAGACGACGAUCCCUAGCUGGUCUGAGAAGAUGACCAGCCACACUGGAACUGAGACACGGUCCAGACUCCUACGGGAGGCAGCAGUGGGGAAUAUUGCACAAUGGGCGCAAGCCUGAUGCAGCCAUGCCGCGUGUGUGAAGAAGGCCUUCGGGUUGUAAAGCACUUUCAGCGGGGAGGCGUUACCCGCAGAAGAAGCACCGGCUAACUCCGUGCCAGCAGCCGCGGUAAUUC